CACGUAGGGCGCGAGCGUUGUCCAGAAUUAUUGGGCGUAAAGAGCUCGUAGGCGGCCUGUUGCGUCCGCUGUGAAAGCCCGGGGCUUAACCCCGGGUCGGCAGUGGAUACGGGCAGGCUAGAGGUAAGUAGGGGAGAAUGGAAUUCCCGGUGUAGCGGUGAAAUGCGCAGAUAUCGGGAGGAACACCGGUGGCGAAGGCGGCUCUCUGGGACGGUACUGACGCUGAGACGCGAAAGCGUGGGGAGCGAACAGG
This 253-nucleotide ribosomal RNA is filed under the name uncultured bacterium. RNAcentral's name for it is "partial 16S ribosomal RNA". It matches the Rfam family "Bacterial small subunit ribosomal RNA", at positions 524 to 776 of the family's 1533-position model. The record is from RNAcentral.